Molecule: ribosomal RNA, 455 nt
Filed under: uncultured marine bacterium
Lineage: Bacteria
Description: bacterial SSU rRNA
Rfam family: Bacterial small subunit ribosomal RNA
Source: RNAcentral
CUCAGAACGAACGCUGGCGGCAGGCUUAACACAUGCAAGUCGAACGCCCCGCAAGGGGAGUGGCAGACGGGUGAGUAACGCGUGGGAACAUACCCUUUCCUGCGGAAUAGCUCCGGGAAACUGGAAUUAAUACCGCAUACGCCCUACGGGGGAAAGAUUUAUCGGGGAAGGAUUGGCCCGCGUUGGAUUAGCUAGUUGGUGGGGUAAAGGCCUACCAAGGCGACGAUCCAUAGCUGGUCUGAGAGGAUGAUCAGCCACAUUGGGACUGAGACACGGCCCAAACUCCUACGGGAGGCAGCAGUGGGGAAUAUUGGACAAUGGGCGCAAGCCUGAUCCAGCCAUGCCGCGUGAGUGAUGAAGGCCUUAGGGUUGUAAAGCUCUUUCACCGAUGAAGAUAAUGACGGUAGUCGGAGAAGAAGCCCCGGCUAACUUCGUGCCAGCAGCCGCGGUAAUAC